RNAcentral lists this ribosomal RNA (253 nucleotides) under uncultured bacterium. RNAcentral's name for it is "partial 16S ribosomal RNA". It matches the Rfam family "Bacterial small subunit ribosomal RNA", at positions 524 to 776 of the family's 1533-position model. The record is from RNAcentral.
UACGGGGGGGGCAAGCGUUGUUCGGAAUUACUGGGCGUAAAGGGCGCGUAGGCGGUCCGCUAAGUUGAAUGUGAAAACUCUGGGCUUAACCCAGAGCCUGCAUUCAAUACUGGCAGGCUAGAGUUCUGGAGGGGAUAGCGGAAUUCCUGGUGUAGCGGUGAAAUGCGUAGAUAUCAGGAGGAACACCGGUGGCGAAGGCGGCUAUCUGGACAGAGUCUGACGCUGAGGCGCGAAAGCUAGGGGAGCAAACAGG